AUUGAACGCUGGCGGAAUGCUUUACACAUGCAAGUCGAACGGCAGCACGGACUUCGGUCUGGUGGCGAGUGGCGAACGGGUGAGUAAUACAUCGGAACGUGCCCAGUCGUGGGGGAUAACGUAGCGAAAGCUACGCUAAUACCGCAUACGAUCUACGGAUGAAAGCGGGGGAUCGCAAGACCUCGCGCGAUUGGAGCGGCCGAUAUCAGAUUAGGUAGUUGGUGAGGUAAAGGCUCACCAAGCCGACGAUCUGUAGCCGGUCUGAGAGGACGACCAGCCACACUGGGACUGAGACACGGCCCAGACUCCUACGGGAGGCAGCAGUGGGGAAUUUUGGACAAUGGACGCAAGUCUGAUCCAGCCAUUCCGCGUGCAGGACGAAGGCCUUCGGGUUGUAAACUGCUUUUGUACAGAACGAAAAGGUCUCUAUUAAUACUAGGGGCUCAUGACGGUACUGUAAGAAUAAGCACCGGCUAACUACGUGCCAGCCGCCGCGGUAA
This 500-nucleotide ribosomal RNA is filed under the name uncultured bacterium. RNAcentral describes it as "partial 16S ribosomal RNA". It matches the Rfam family "Bacterial small subunit ribosomal RNA", at positions 30 to 523 of the family's 1533-position model. The record is from RNAcentral.